RNAcentral lists this small RNA (103 nucleotides) under Propithecus coquereli (Coquerel's sifaka). RNAcentral's name for it is "Y RNA (ENSPCOG00000009830.1)". Lineage: Eukaryota; Metazoa; Chordata; Mammalia; Primates; Indriidae. The record is from RNAcentral.
AGGUUGUCAAAAGCACUUGCCCAGUGGGUUAUCAGAACUUAUUAACAUUAGUGUCACUAAAGUUGGUAUUCAACCCCCCGCUGCUAAAUUUGACUGGCUUUAA